GAUGAACGCUGGCGGCGUGCCUAAUACAUGCAAGUCGAGCGAACAGACGAGGAGCUUGCUCCUCUGACGUUAGCGGCGGACGGGUGAGUAACACGUGGAUAACCUACCUCUAAGACUGGGAUAACUUCGGGAAACCGGAGCUAAUACCGGAUAAUAUAUUGAACCGCAUGGUUCAAUAGUGAAAGACGGUUUUGCUGUCACUUAUAGAUGGAUCCGCGCCGCAUUAGCUAGUUGGUAAGGUAACGGCUUACCAAGGCAACGAUGCGUAGCCGACCUGAGAGGGUGAUCGGCCACACUGGAACUGAGACACGGUCCAGACUCCUACGGGAGGCAGCAGUAGGGAAUCUUCCGCAAUGGGCGAAAGCAUGACGGAGCAACGCCGCGUGAGUGAUGAAGGUCUUCGGAUCGUAAAACUCUGUUAUUAGGGAAGAACAAAUGUGUAAGUAACUAUGCACGUCUUGACGGUACCUAAUCAGAAAGCCACGGCUAACUACGUG
RNAcentral lists this ribosomal RNA (497 nucleotides) under uncultured bacterium. RNAcentral's name for it is "partial 16S ribosomal RNA". It matches the Rfam family "Bacterial small subunit ribosomal RNA", at positions 28 to 507 of the family's 1533-position model. The record is from RNAcentral.